AGUGGGAAAGUGGAUUGGUGCCUUCAAUUGCUCGAGGAGCUGAAUUGAGACGUAGUUUAAGUUUCGCGGACGAAACUCUUUUUAAGGGGUAGAGAAUGUAACAUAUCGAACUUCUACAACUAUAAAGUUUUGGUAGAUGUUAGAAGCUAUUGGAGUAGUUCCGGUGACGUUCGGGAGCAUUUUAGUGUUUUCGGUGCGAGUUGGGCACGAAAACGGAACCCGAAAAGUUAUGAUUGGGCUUUGGCCUAAAUCCGGCAAAGCAUGAAUGAAACGAUGAUAGAAACGUGCUCAAAUCAUGUUUUGGGGGUCUCGGAACGAUUAGAAAUGCGUCGGAGGCCCCGGGAAUGAAAACGGAGCGAAAUCAGUGAA
This 369-nucleotide long non-coding RNA is filed under the name Ananas comosus (pineapple). RNAcentral describes it as "long non-coding RNA (ACOM_LNC007072)". The record is from RNAcentral. Lineage: Eukaryota; Viridiplantae; Streptophyta; Magnoliopsida; Poales; Bromeliaceae.